AGUAACGCGUGAGCAACCUGCCUAUGACAGUGGGAUAGCCUCGGGAAACCGGGAUUAAUACCGCAUAAAAUCGUAGAAACACAUGUUUCAACGGUCAAAGAUUUAUCGGUCAUAGAUUGGCUCGCGUCUGAUUAGCUAGUUGGUGAGAUAACAGCCCACCAAGGCGACGAUCAGUAGCCGGUCUGAGAGGAUGAACGGCCACAUUGGAACUGAGACACGGUCCAA
RNAcentral lists this ribosomal RNA (225 nucleotides) under uncultured Eubacteriales bacterium. RNAcentral's name for it is "uncultured Clostridiales bacterium partial 16S ribosomal RNA". It matches the Rfam family "Bacterial small subunit ribosomal RNA", at positions 109 to 334 of the family's 1533-position model. The record is from RNAcentral. Lineage: Bacteria; Bacillati; Bacillota; Clostridia; Eubacteriales.